Molecule: ribosomal RNA, 253 nt
Filed under: uncultured bacterium
Lineage: Bacteria
Description: partial 16S ribosomal RNA
Rfam family: Bacterial small subunit ribosomal RNA
Source: RNAcentral
UACGUAGGGUGCGAGCGUUGUCCGGAAUUAUUGGGCGUAAAGAGCUCGUAGGCGGCUCGGUAAGUCGGGUGUGAAACCUCCAGGCUCAACCUCGAGACGCCGAUGGAAACCAUCGAACUAGAGUCCGGAAGAGGAGAGUGGAAUUCCUGGUGUAGCGGUGAAAUGCGCAGAUAUCAGGAAGAACACCCGUGGCUAAGGCGGCUCUCUAGUACGGUACUGACGCUGAGACGCGAAAGCGUGGGGAGCGAACAGG